Molecule: ribosomal RNA, 496 nt
Filed under: uncultured bacterium
Lineage: Bacteria
Description: partial 16S ribosomal RNA
Rfam family: Bacterial small subunit ribosomal RNA
Source: RNAcentral
GAUGAACGCUGGCGGCGUGCCUAAUACAUGCAAGUCGAGCGAACGGACGAGAAGCUUGCUUUUCUGAUGUUAGCGGCGGACGGGUGAGUAACACGUGGAUAACCUACCUAUAAGACUGGGAUAACUUCGGGAAACCGGAGCUAAUACCGGAUAAUAUUUUGAACCGCAUGGUUCAAAAGUGAAAGACGGUCUUGCUGUCACUUAUAGAUGGAUCCGCGCUGCAUUAGCUAGUUGGUAAGGUGACGGCUUACCAAGGCAACGAUGCAUAGCCGACCUGAGAGGGUGAUCGGCCACACUGGAACUGAGACACGGUCCAGACUCCUACGGGAGGCAGCAGUAGGGAAUCUUCCGCAAUGGGCGAAAGCCUGACGGAGCAACGCCGCGUGAGUGAUGAAGGUCUUCGGAUCGUAAAACUCUGUUAUUAGGGAAGAACAUAUGUGUAAGUAACUGUGCACAUCUUGACGGUACCUAAUCAGAAAGCCACGGCUAACUACGU